This 396-nucleotide ribosomal RNA is filed under the name uncultured bacterium. RNAcentral's name for it is "partial 16S ribosomal RNA". It matches the Rfam family "Bacterial small subunit ribosomal RNA", at positions 523 to 918 of the family's 1533-position model. The record is from RNAcentral.
AUACGUAGGUGGCAAGCGUUGUCCGGAAUUAUUGGGCGUAAAGCGCAUGUAGGCGGUAAUUUAAGUCUGUCGUGAAACUGCGGGGCUCAGCCCCGUAUGGCGAUGGAAACUGGGUUACUUGAGUGCAGGAGAGGAAAGGGGAACUCCCAGUGUAGCGGUGAAAUGCGUAGAUAUUGGGAAGAACACCGGUGGCGAAGGCGCCUUUCUGGACUGUGUCUGACGCUGAGAUGCGAAAGCCAGGGUAGCGAACGGGAUUAGAUACCCCGGUAGUCCUGGCCUUAAACGAUGGGUACUAGGUGUGGGAGGUAUCGACCCCUUCCGUGCCGGAGUUAACGCAAUAAGUACCCCGCCUGGGGAGUACGGCCGCAAGGCUUAAACUCAAAUGAAUUGACGGGG